Molecule: small RNA, 31 nt
Filed under: Arabidopsis thaliana (thale cress)
Lineage: Eukaryota; Viridiplantae; Streptophyta; Magnoliopsida; Brassicales; Brassicaceae
Description: ATSL291510
Source: RNAcentral
UUUGGAUGAUGAGAAGAAGAAAGCGAUUUAA